RNAcentral lists this transfer RNA (56 nucleotides) under Pelomedusa subrufa. RNAcentral describes it as "partial transfer RNA-Ser". The record is from RNAcentral. Lineage: Eukaryota; Metazoa; Chordata; Testudines; Pelomedusidae.
ACUAACCGAGGAAGAAAGUAAGAAACCGCUAAUUUCUCAACCUGAAGCUAACCACU